Molecule: long non-coding RNA, 397 nt
Organism: Drosophila sulfurigaster albostrigata
Lineage: Eukaryota; Metazoa; Arthropoda; Insecta; Diptera; Drosophilidae
Exons: 3
Source: RefSeq, a predicted model, not a curated record
CCAUCCCUGGCCCGCAGACCGCACAAUCGAUAAUUUCACCGAUAUUAACAGCUGUUUAUAACAGAAGAAACGCAUUACUAACAGAAAAACAAAACAGCUGCCGCGCAAUUGAAAAUUGCGCAAAAACAAAAGGAAAUCCAAAACAACCUAUUGACGACGGGCCCAGUUGGACCCCGGCGUACCCACCCUGCCUGAGAUGGCUACAUCGGCGACAUCUCCCUUGCGUUGGCCACCAUAUCGGUGGCUGCUCCUCAUCCGGCGUAGUGCUGUGGAAUUCCCCUUCCCUCCAUGCUGAGAAACUCACACAACCAUGUUCAACAUAUCAUACAAAUAUUUGGACAAAAUGGCAAAGGAGCAAGAUCAAACAAAAUCACGCAGUAGGACGAGCGAAACAACA